CCCCGGGUGGUAUAAAUGGUUAACACACCCAGCUGCUAACUGAAAGGUUGGAGGUUCGAGUCCUCCCUGGUGAU
Molecule: transfer RNA, 74 nt
Filed under: Loxodonta africana (African savanna elephant)
Lineage: Eukaryota; Metazoa; Chordata; Mammalia; Proboscidea; Elephantidae
Rfam family: tRNA
About the family: Transfer RNA (tRNA) molecules are approximately 80 nucleotides in length. Their secondary structure includes four short double-helical elements and three loops (D, anti-codon, and T loops).
Source: Rfam by way of RNAcentral